GACGAACGCUGGCGGCGUGCUUUAACACAUGCAAGUCGAGCGGUAAGGCCCUUCGGGGUACACGAGCGGCGAACGGGUGAGUAACACGUGGGUGAUCUGCCUUGCACUCUGGGAUAAGCCUGGGAAGCUGGGUCUAAUACCGGAUAUGACCACAGGAUGCAUGUUUUGUGGUGGAAAGCUUUUGCGGUGCAAGAUGGGCCCGCGGCCUAUCAGCUUGUUGGUGGGGUAAUGGCCUACCAAGGCGACGACGGGUAGCCGGCCUGAGAGGGCGACCGGCCACACUGGGACUGAGACACGGCCCAGACUC
This 307-nucleotide ribosomal RNA is filed under the name uncultured bacterium. Its description in RNAcentral is "bacterial SSU rRNA". It matches the Rfam family "Bacterial small subunit ribosomal RNA", at positions 28 to 338 of the family's 1533-position model. The record is from RNAcentral.